Sorghum bicolor (sorghum) is the source of this 874-nucleotide long non-coding RNA. RefSeq lists it as uncharacterized. The record is from RefSeq and is a predicted model, not a curated record. The transcript is spliced from 2 exons. NCBI's taxonomy places the organism in Eukaryota, Viridiplantae, Streptophyta, Magnoliopsida, Poales, Poaceae.
CCCGGGUGGGAAAAUGCUGAAUCUGCUUGCCGAAUCCGUGGUGCAAAAAUGCGAAAUGCAUGCGCUGAAUCUGCGCGUGCAGUGCGACUCCCAAUGGCCCAUGAGCCUCGCCGUCGCCGGUAUACCUGCAACGGGUUCGGUUCGACCCGUUUCUAAAGCCGACCCGCACCUGGAAUUAGCCAAUGGAUCGAAUCGGGUCGACCCAGAGCAGAAGAGGGCCUAAAGGGUCGUGACCCUGUCGACCCCCGGUGAUCCUCGGGUUGACCCUCCGACUCCCUCGUAGCUUCAGCUGCUCACCGCCGCCCACUGCCCAGUCGUCGUCGUCGCUGCUGCCGCCACCGCCCUCCUCAUCCUCCUCCUCCGCCACUUCCCUCACACUACGGCCUUAUCUUGGAUUCCUGCGCACGAGUACCUCCCUGCCCGUCACAGAUCUGGCGGCGGCAGCGGCGACGACGGCGGCAGUGGUGAAGGCUCCAUCCUCGACACCUCUCUGCUCGGUGGAGCUUGGCAUGCAUAUGUUCCAAGACUUGAGAUUCUCACACCAUAAUGUUCAGAAGAUGCAUGAGGCUUGCUCAAAGCUGCUAUUGCUAUUAGGGAUUUUGAUCCUGUUAUUUUCCUAAAAAAUGAAUUUUUGUUUGUCAGUGUGAUCUUGUUGAAUUAUUUUGCUAGCCACCUAUCAUUUUGAAAUUAUUUGUAGGAUAAAUGUUCUCAUGGUCAUGUAAAUGAUAUGCUUAUUUCCCUCCCUGCAAUGGAAAUACACUUUCCGUAGUGAAUGUUCUCAAGUAUCAAGAGAGGUUAUCUACGUUCUGAACUAUUUGUAGUAAUGAAUCUUAAACUCUGUUUUAAUAAAUGAUCCACCCCCGUUAAGAUUGUU